This 495-nucleotide ribosomal RNA is filed under the name uncultured bacterium. Its description in RNAcentral is "partial 16S ribosomal RNA". It matches the Rfam family "Bacterial small subunit ribosomal RNA", at positions 28 to 507 of the family's 1533-position model. The record is from RNAcentral.
GACGAACGCUGGCGGCGUGCCUAAUACAUGCAAGUAGAACGCUGAAGGAGGAGCUUGCUCUUCUGGAUGAGUUGCGAACGGGUGAGUAACGCGUAGGUAACCUGCCUGGUAGCGGGGGAUAACUAUUGGAAACGAUAGCUAAUACCGCAUAACAGUAGAUGUUGCAUGACAUUUACUUAAAAGGUGCAAUUGCAUCACUACCAGAUGGACCUGCGUUGUAUUAGCUAGUUGGUGGGGUAACGGCUCACCAAGGCGACGAUACAUAGCCGACCUGAGAGGGUGAUCGGCCACACUGGGACUGAGACACGGCCCAGACUCCUACGGGAGGCAGCAGUAGGGAAUCUUCGGCAAUGGACGGAAGUCUGACCGAGCAACGCCGGGUGAGUGAAGAAGGGUUUCGGAUCGUAAAGCUCUGUUGUAAGAGAAGAACGAGUGUGAGAGUGGAAAGUUCACACUGUGACGGUAUCUUACCAGAAAGGGACGGCUAACUACGUG